AUAUUUAUGCAUAUAUAUAUGUAUAUAUUUAUACAUAUAUAUAUGUAUAAAUAUAUAUAUAUAUAUGUACACACACACACACAUAUAUAUAUUAUAUAUAUAUAUA
This 106-nucleotide microRNA precursor is filed under the name Vicugna pacos (alpaca). RNAcentral's name for it is "miRNA (ENSVPAG00000017280.1)". Lineage: Eukaryota; Metazoa; Chordata; Mammalia; Artiodactyla; Camelidae. The record is from RNAcentral.